GACGAACCCGUGCGAACGUUGUUCGGAUUCACUGGGCUUAAAGGGCGCGUAGGCGGCUCUCCCAGUCCGGGGUGAAAGCUUUCGGCUUAACCGGAAAAGGGCCUUGGAUGCUGGAGAGCUCGAGGGAGGUAGGGGCAGCCGGAACUUCCGGUGGAGCGGUGAAAUGCGUUGAGAUCGGAAGGAACGCCGGUGGCGAAAGCGGGCUGCUGGAUCUCUGCUGACGCUGAGGCGCGAAAGCCAGGGGAGCAAACGGGAUUAGAUACCCUGUAGU
This 271-nucleotide ribosomal RNA is filed under the name uncultured bacterium. Its description in RNAcentral is "partial 16S ribosomal RNA". It matches the Rfam family "Bacterial small subunit ribosomal RNA", at positions 524 to 794 of the family's 1533-position model. The record is from RNAcentral.